UGGAAUUACAAAUGGUUGAUGCAAUGG
This 27-nucleotide non-coding RNA is filed under the name Rattus norvegicus (Norway rat). The record is from RNAcentral. Lineage: Eukaryota; Metazoa; Chordata; Mammalia; Rodentia; Muridae.